Molecule: long non-coding RNA, 1089 nt
Filed under: Apteryx owenii (little spotted kiwi)
Lineage: Eukaryota; Metazoa; Chordata; Aves; Apterygiformes; Apterygidae
Description: lncRNA (ENSAOWG00000006164.1)
Source: RNAcentral
GGCCGAGUGCCUGGGCACAGGGGGAGCGGGGCCCCCCAGGGGGUCUGGUUGGGGACCUGCUCAGGGACCUGCUACGGGGCCACUCUGCGCUGUUGGGCUGCUCACCUCCAGGUUGAAGCCUCCCGGAGCCAUGGUGCGGAGCUCAGCGCUGGGCGGCUGCAGCCGGGCUCUGGCACCGGGCAGCUCCGGCGAGGCUCCGGUGCAGGUGCAGCUUCAGAUGGCCUCAGCGAGGUUCCAGCACGGGUGCAGCUUCAGGCGGCCACGGCCGGGCUCUGGCACGGGUGCAGCUUCAGGCGGCCGUGGCCGGGCUCCGGCACGGGUGCAGCUUCAGGCGGCCGCAGUGAGGCUCCGGCACGGGUGCAGCUUCAGGCGGCCUCAGUGAGGCUCCGGCACGGGUGCAGCUUCAGGCGGCUGCGGCCAGGCUCCGGCGCGGGUGCAGCUUCAGGCGGCCGCGGCCGGGCUCCGGCACGGGUGCAGCUUCAGGCGGCCGCAGCGAGGCUCUGGCGCGGGUGCAGCUUCAGGCAGCUGCGGCCUGGCUCUGGCGCGGGUGCAGCUUCAAGUGGCUGCGCCCGGGCUCCGGUGCGGGUGCAGCUUCAGACAGCUGCAGUGAGGCUCCGGUGCUGGGCAGCUCCGGCGAUGCUGCGGCGCGGGUGCAGCUCUGGGUGGCUCUGGUGCGGGUGCAGCUCUGGGCAGCUCCGGUGCGGGGGCGGCUCUGGUGUGGGUGCAGCUCUGGUGCGGGUGCAGCUCCGGGCGGCUCUGGUGCGGGUGCAGCUCUGGGCUGCGGGUGCAGUUCCAGGCGGCUCCGGUGCGGGUGCAGCUUUGGGCUGCGGGUGCAGCUCUGGGCGGUGGGUGCAGUUCCAGGCGUCUCCAGUGCGGGUGCAGCUCCGGCGCGGGUGCAGCUUUGGGGUGCGGGUGCAGGUCCGGGUCGGUUGUGGCGCAGGUGCAGCUCCGGGCGGUGGUGGCGAGGCUCUGGCGCCGUGCUCAGGUCCCUGUGGUUUCGGCGGCGCGGAGGGGAAGCGGGGGGGCCCCGUCCCCUCCUCGGCACCUGGGGGGCUGGGCCAGGUUUGGGGAACCGAGCGCUGCCGGUGA